GAAUCUACUUAACACGAUCGUGACUAGCGACCUUCACUACUUACGAAUAUAAAUUCAUAACGAUUAGGUAAAACAAACUUAUAUCCUAGCAUCAAAUUCAAGCAUGCAAAUUAAGCGUGCACUCUCAACCAACAUACAAGAAUAAGUUCUAAAUCAAACGGUUAAGCAAAUUGUAUUCACGACUUAUACAACGAUAACUGAAAGUAAUCAACUUAUUUCACAUAUAUAAUCAUGGUUUUGAAUCCACCCUUAGCCAAAAUGAAAUUAGCCAAUCAUACUUAAAGCAAAACAAAGAUUACAUGAAUUAGACAUUAAAAUCCAAAGAAAGAAAACACCUAGAAUGCUCCAACUUGGCAGCAAGUGCAUCCAAGAUUCCUCAUUUCCCUUGCUUGUGGCAGAUUGGUUUGUGGACAGGUUUUGGGUAGUUCUAUGGUGCAGAAAGGUUUAUGGUGAGUGUAGAGGAGUGUUUGAUGGUGGAAGGGUGGUGGAGAACUUCGGCAAAGAGGGUGGAAGAAGGUGGAGUGGCUGUGAUAUUUUCUGGGCACUAGAAUGGUGUUUUUGGGGUGUUUUGCUGCCUAGGGUGAGUAUGGACGAAUUUCUGUGAUGAAUGGUGAAUAUGAGAGUGUGAACCCUUUGCCAAGGGGUGUGAACAUGUAUAUAUAGGCCCCAAAAACCCUAGAGAAUCAGAUUGGGCAGUGGGGAAAAUGCACAGCAAUGAGGGUGAAUUUGUGGUGUGUAAUGGUCCAAGGAUGAAAAUGGAGCAAUGAUGCAAAGUAUAGAGGGUAAAAUGGAGUGGUAUUUCAGCUAGGGAGCAUGAAUGAUUGUGUUCAUUGCAUGGAAAUGAAAAGAGGAGGUGAAAUGUUUCAGAAAUUAGUCAAAGGUGCAGCAACAUGUGUUGCACACAGCAUUGGAUCCCAAAUGUGGAUAAUGGAGCAUCAAUUGGUGCAUGGAAUGGUUGAAAGUUGUGUGAAAUCUGAUGGGUGAAGGGAACAAGAGGUAUGCAGCAAUUUAGUGUGAUAAUUGAGUGAAUUGAGGCAUGAAAUCAGAAAUAUUUUAGGGGACAAGGAUGAUUAAGCAUGCAUGGGAAUCCAAAGGGAAUGCUAUGUGGUUACACGGCAAGGAGUGGGUGUUCUUUUGUGGCUGAAUUCUUGAUCCUUUUUACAUUAAUUCUUCACAUUCUUAGCCUCUUUAAUUCUUCAAUUUCGUCCAAACCUUGGUUCCAAAUAUGUGACAUGCAUUCCAAGCUCCAUUUUGCUCCAAAAUGCUCCAAAAUGCAUCUUCUUGCCUACUUUGUCCUUAAAAUCUGAAAACACACGAAAAUGACUUUAAACACUAAAAUAACUAAAGAGACACGACAUAAAUGCACAAGAACAAGCCAACUAAGUCGCAUAAAUAUGCUCCUAUCAAAUUCCCCCACACUUAGCUUUUGCUAGUCCUCGAGCAAAACAAAAUAACUAAACAAAACCAAACCAACCAAAUGAACAAAAUCCAACCUAAGCCUUCCAACGUUUGCCUCAGGGAUUUCCAAUGCACAUGUCAUGUUAAAAAUUGUCAUCCCCACAGAUUUUAGUUGUCUUCACACUUAAGCACAUACUUAAUCAUAGUCACCACUUACUUGUUCGCAAUUAAUCGAUUAAAACAAUGUUUUUGAUGUAGUAACAUGCCUUAGAGAAUUUACUCAAGUCCUUACAAAGUAUGCACUCAAUUUUCACUCAGAUUUUCUAACUACACACACUAUACUAGUCAUAUGUGAGAAGAUUGAUGUAAACAUGAAAACGAACGCUCACAUAUAUGUAUUACAAAGAAAGCGAUUUCUGGAGCAUGUUUAGAUAUGAUCUCAUGAAUGGAAUGCUACUACUUAGAUGCGAGAACCAGUGACACCAUAUGCUCAUAUCAAUUUCAAACUCCACAUAUUGAACCACAUGACACUCAAGAUGAAGUUAAGGGUUGUAACGGGGCUUGGGGUGAUGGCUAACAAAUGAAGGAUAAGGAUAACAAUCGUUCUUAAAGCAAUAGCAAGCAAAGUAAUGAAAUUGAAACUUAGAAUUCACUUAGAUUGCAGAAAUCAGCUUUUAGACACGAAGGGAAAAUUCAAGCAAUAUUUAGGGCCGAAUUCUAUGUUUUGGACAAUUUCUUCAACAAGCAGCACUUUAAAACUCUUUUUCACAUAUUUUUCAACUCCCUUUUUUUUUUUUUUUCUCAACUCUUCUUUUCUUUUCAACAAGCAUAAUAACUCACACUUCCCCCACACUUGUUUUCUGCCAUACAUUAAUCAAAAGAAAUUCAAUUUGAAUCAUGCUUUACUAUGCUUCAAGAACAAGGGUAUGGAUGGUCCUAAACUAGGCUAGGUAAGGAUAAUGUGGUUUAACAAAGAAUGUAGGCUAUCAAGGCUCAAUGGGGUUAACUUAAACAUAUAAAGAUAUGGGAUACAUGGCAGUUUGGCUUUGGUGGUGGUAACUACACAACUUCAUCUUGAAUAUGUGUUAUGCAAAUCAAUAGCAUGCUUUGAAUGAAAUAGGCAUGAGUUCUAGCAUUUGGAACUAAAUGAUGAAACGCCUUCUAAGUAAUAACCAAGCAAAGAAUAAUGAGAUCAUGCAACGACUUUAGAAAACAAUAAUGCACAAAUUUUAACUCUCCAAAUAAACAUUUAGGCUCAAGUCUCACAAGGUUGUAGCGUUAGUUUGAGUUCCUUCCUUCAAGCAUGUUACAAAAACUAAUUUUUUUUUUCUUUUAUGAUUACAUGUGAUUUCAUAAGUUAUAACCACAACCAAGCAUAAAUAAAGAGUAAAUCAAACUUUCAUCCAUGUUUAUAACUCUCUUUAACAGUCAUGCAAUUACAAACCGAAUCCUCA
RNAcentral lists this long non-coding RNA (2852 nucleotides) under Malus domestica (apple). RNAcentral's name for it is "long non-coding RNA (MDOM_LNC018544)". Lineage: Eukaryota; Viridiplantae; Streptophyta; Magnoliopsida; Rosales; Rosaceae. The record is from RNAcentral.